UACGUAGGGUGCAAGCGUUGUCCGGAAUUAUUGGGCGUAAAGAGCUCGUAGGCGGUCUGUUGCGUCCGCUGUGAAAACUCGGGGCUUAACCCCGAGCCUGCAGUGGAUACGGGCAGACUAGAGGUAGGUAGUGGAGAAUGGAAUUCCCGGUGUAGCGGUGAAAUGCGCAGAUAUCGGGAGGAACACCGGUGGCGAAGGCGGUUCUCUGGGCCUUACCUGACGCUGAGGAGCGAAAGCGUGGGGAGCGAACAGG
RNAcentral lists this ribosomal RNA (253 nucleotides) under uncultured bacterium. RNAcentral's name for it is "partial 16S ribosomal RNA". It matches the Rfam family "Bacterial small subunit ribosomal RNA", at positions 524 to 776 of the family's 1533-position model. The record is from RNAcentral.